GUUUAUACUGAAAAAGUAUAUGGAAAAAACUUGCAAGAAGAGAAGCCUCUCAAAAGGAUUAAGUACCUUUGAAGUCAGAAUCCAUUUUCUCAAAACAAUUUCAAUGUAGUAGAUAUGAUAGCACAAAAAAAUUCAAAUGUGGGUAAUAUCAGUCCAUCUUUGCAGAACAAGUCAACAAGCUGUAGCAGAUCAAGUGAAUGUUUCAGGAUCUUCAUAACCAUCAG
RNAcentral lists this unclassified non-coding RNA (224 nucleotides) under Hevea brasiliensis (rubber tree). The record is from RNAcentral. Lineage: Eukaryota; Viridiplantae; Streptophyta; Magnoliopsida; Malpighiales; Euphorbiaceae.